This is a non-coding RNA of Candidatus Stoquefichus sp. KLE1796, 147 nucleotides long. The record is from Rfam. Lineage: Bacteria; Bacillati; Bacillota; Erysipelotrichia; Erysipelotrichales; Erysipelotrichaceae.
AUUAAAAAAGAAGCGCCAGGACUCUAUUAGAGUUGACGAGGACCAGAUUUAUCGAAAGAUUCGGCGGAUGAUCUGGAGGUAUGAUGCUACCUAAACGAUGAGCAAAAAUAAUGAGUAAUCAUUAAACAAAUAUCAUCAGGCAUAACU